GACGAACGCUGGCGGCGUGCCUAAUACAUGCAAGUAGAACGCUGAAGCUUGGUGCUUGCACCGAGCGGAUGAGUUGCGAACGGGUGAGUAACGCGUAGGUAACCUGCCUGGUAGCGGGGGAUAACUAUUGGAAACGAUAGCUAAUACCGCAUGAUAUUGAUUAUUGCAUGAUAGUCAAUUAAAAGGUGCAAUUGCAUCACUACCAGAUGGACCUGCGUUGUAUUAGCUAGUUGGUGAGGUAACGGCUCACCAAGGCAACGAUACAUAGCCGACCUGAGAGGGUGAUCGGCCACACUGGGACUGAGACACGGCCCAGACUCCUACGGGAGGCAGCAGUAGGGAAUCUUCGGCAAUGGACGGAAGUCUGACCGAGCAACGCCGCGUGAGUGAAGAAGGUUUUCGGAUCGUAAAGCUCUGUUGUAAGAGAAGAACGAGUGUGAGAGUGGAAAGUUCACACUGUGACGGUAUCUUACCAGAAAAGGACGGCUAACUACGUGCCAGCAGCCGCGGUAAUACGUAGGUCCCGAGCGUUGUCCGGAUUUAUUGGGCGUAAAGCGAGCGCAGGCGGUUAGAUAAGUCUGAAGUUAAAGGCUGUGGCUUAACCAUAGUACGCUUUGGAAACUGUUUAACUUGAGUGCAAGAGGGGAGAGUGGAAUUCCAUGUGUAGCGGUGAAAUGCGUAGAUAUAUGGAGGAACACCGGUGGCGAAAGCGGCUCUCUGGCUUGUAACUGACGCUGAGGCUCGAAAGCGUGGGGAGCAAACAGG
This 765-nucleotide ribosomal RNA is filed under the name uncultured Streptococcus sp. RNAcentral's name for it is "bacterial SSU rRNA". It matches the Rfam family "Bacterial small subunit ribosomal RNA", at positions 28 to 776 of the family's 1533-position model. Lineage: Bacteria; Bacillati; Bacillota; Bacilli; Lactobacillales; Streptococcaceae. The record is from RNAcentral.